Molecule: ribosomal RNA, 675 nt
Filed under: uncultured bacterium
Lineage: Bacteria
Description: bacterial SSU rRNA
Rfam family: Bacterial small subunit ribosomal RNA
Source: RNAcentral
GGGGAUAAUCGGGAGAAAUCCCGUCUAAUACCGCGUAAUGCCGCGGGGCUGCAUGGCCCUGCGGCCAAAGGGAGCGAUUCCGGCAACGGAUGGGCAUGCGUGACAUUAGCUAGUUGGCGGGGCAACGGCCCACCAAGGCGACGAUGUCUAGGGGUUCUGAGAGGAAGGUCCCCCACACUGGUACUGAGACACGGACCAGACUCCUACGGGAGGCAGCAGUGAGGAAUAUUGGUCAAUGGGCGCGAGCCUGAACCAGCCAAGUCGCGUGAGGGAUGACGGCCCUACGGGUUGUAAACCUCUUUUGUCGGGGAGCAAAUUCCGCCACGUGUGGCGGAGUCGAGAGUACCCGAAGAAAAAGCAUCGGCUAACUCCGUGCCAGCAGCCGCGGUAAUACGGAGGAUGCGAGCGUUAUCCGGAUUUAUUGGGUUUAAAGGGUGCGUAGGCGGACUGUCAAGUCAGCGGUAAAAUACGGGGGCUCAACCUCCGCCCGCCGUUGAAACUGACGGUCUUGAGUGGGCGAGAAGUGUGCGGAAUGCGUGGUGUAGCGGUGAAAUGCAUAGAUAUCACGCAGAACUCCGAUUGCGAAGGCAGCAUACCGGCGCCCGACUGACGCUGAAGCACGAAAGCGUGGGUAUCGAACAGGAUUAGAUACCCUGGUAGUCCACGCAGUAAACG